GAAUAUGCUUUGCUCUGCUCUUCAGAAUCCUCUCUCUCACAUCAUCACAAUUCAUCGUCCUCAUCGUCACAAACACUUCUGCUUUUCCAUUCUCUCCUAUACUAAAUUCGGAGAGGAAGACGAGAGGUGCAGGAAUCAUGGAGUUUCUUCAGGAACUCUUCCUGACCGGUUUUCUUUCGCUUAUCUUCGCCUUUCUCUUAGCUAAGCUCGUUUCAAUGGCUUCGGCUGGGGAUGCCGACGAGAGUGAGUCUGUCUUAAGACCAGGGAAGGAGUUUGAUGGUGGCGUAGUUACGGAGGAGCGAACUUUUGAAGGACGACUGAACAAUCCAGGGUUGCAAACCGAAGAUAAAGUUGAAUUUAUUGGAGAAACUGUAAAGAUUGAUCAACAUGAAAGAGAAUUGGUCCGGGAAAAGAUGGAAAUGGUGCAUGGAAGCAAAGAAUUCGAGAUGGGAAGUUCCAGGGAGGUUGAGGUUUAUGAAGAUAAUCAUCUUAGAGUAGAGGAGGAAACUUUAAAACAAGAAGUUGAAGUCCGCGGAUUACCACAAGACAAGCUUAUCGAGGAAAGGUCUGAUAAGGAGGAGAUGACAAACCAUGCUUUUUAUUCGGGACAACUUAAGGAGGAAAUGGCUCCAACUGAGGAUGACCAGUUGGAAGCCAACUUGGUUGAAGAAAGCCAUGGGAAGUUAGAGAAUCAUAAAAAUAACAUAGAAUUGGCGAAGGACGACGACAUUCUUUUCAAGGACCAACAGCUUGGGCUUGCUGGGCAUGAAUUGUAUCAGGAAAAUGCUGCUGAAGUAGCAGAGAGAAGUAGGCAAAAUGAUGACAAGGAGGUUUUGUUUAGUGAUGAAGAUGAUUGGGAAGGGAUCGAAAGAACAGAGGUGGAAAAGCUUUUUAGUGCCGCAGCGGCAUUUGUUGGCUCUCCGUGUAACAACGAUCGCUUGUCGAACGUUGAUAGUGAUGUGCAGAUGCUGUUGUAUGGGCUUCACAAGGUUGCUACCGAAGGGCCUUGCCAUGAGCCGCAGCCCAUGGCACUAAAGGUCUCUGCCCGCGCAAAGUGGAAUGCUUGGCAACAGCUGGGGAACAUGAGUCCAGAGGAGGCAAUGGACCAGUAUAUCACUCUUCUUUCAGAUACAGUUCCUGGGUGGAAGGGAGAAAGUCCUGGAGGACACAAUAAACAGGAAUACCUGGAAGGGAGAACUCCUGGUUUGGGAGCAUUUCCACUUAAAUUGGGUUCUGAAGGUGAAAGGAAACCAGAGGAACCCCAGUCUUGUAGCAAAGGGGAUGAGACUGCAGACAGAAACUUUGUGGACAGGAAUAACAACCCAAUCUAAUCUCAUCAGAUGACUGAACAUAUGAGCGUCAGCUAUCACUUUGUCAUCAUCAUCAGGAGAAUGACAAACAAUAACAGAUGGUCUAAUACUGCUUCCUCUCAACAAUGCUAGGAGACUUCUCCUGGGUUCUCCUGACUGAGGAGCUUGCUUUGAAGAUUGGAGGCUUUUAUGCUGGUUAUACUUUUAUUCUUCCUGAUUAUCCCAAAUGUUCUUCAUUUCAAUAAGAACUGAUAUCUAUGUGUAUUUGUUGUAUGUGUAUAUAUGUCUUGUAUGUUCUAUUAUCUUACCUCAAGGGUCAAGACUCAUUUUGGUGCCUAUGAUGCUGAAUAAAAAUUAAUGAUAUCUCAUCA
Molecule: RNA transcript, 1681 nt
Organism: Nelumbo nucifera (sacred lotus)
Lineage: Eukaryota; Viridiplantae; Streptophyta; Magnoliopsida; Proteales; Nelumbonaceae
Gene: ACBP3
Gene name: acyl-CoA-binding domain 3
Source: RefSeq, a predicted model, not a curated record